GACGAACGCUGGCGGCGUGCUUAACACAUGCAAGUCGAACGGAAAGGCCCUGCUUUUGUGGGGUGCUCGAGUGGCGAACGGGUGAGUAACACGUGAGUAACCUGCCCUUGACUUUGGGAUAACUUCAGGAAACUGGGGCUAAUACCGGAUAGGAGCUCCUGCUGCAUGGUGGGGGUUGGAAAGUUUCGGCGGUUGGGGAUGGACUCGCGGCUUAUCAGCUUGUUGGUGGGGUAGUGGCUUACCAAGGCUUUGACGGGUAGCCGGCCUGAGAGGGUGACCGGCCACAUUGGGACUGAGAUACGGCCCAGACUCCUACGGGAGGCAGCAGUGGGGAAUACUGCACAAUGGGCGGAAGCCUGAGGCAGCAACGCCGCGUGCGGGAUGACGGCCUUCGGGUUGUAAACCGCUUUCGCCUGUGACGAAGCGUGAGUGACGGUAAUGGGUAAAGAAGCACCGGCUAACUACGUG
RNAcentral lists this ribosomal RNA (468 nucleotides) under uncultured bacterium. RNAcentral's name for it is "partial 16S ribosomal RNA". It matches the Rfam family "Bacterial small subunit ribosomal RNA", at positions 28 to 507 of the family's 1533-position model. The record is from RNAcentral.